Long non-coding RNA from Cyprinus carpio carpio, 462 nucleotides. The record is from Ensembl. Lineage: Eukaryota; Metazoa; Chordata; Actinopteri; Cypriniformes; Cyprinidae.
GUCCCUUUAACACAUUCUGUUGACUCUAAUGUUGCACCGACAUGUAUACUAACUCUCAUUAGAGUAUUAGUAGAGUAUUAGUAGACUGGUAGGGUUAGGGAUAGUAGAAUAAGUUGACAUGUACUACAUGUGAAGUUACAUGAAGAAUGUCUGUUGGGAGACAUCAUAAUAAAGAGUUAGCAGUUAUUAACCAGAGAAGAGUCUACUAAAGAGUAAGUUAACAUAAGGUGCAACGUUACAAGGCCUCGUUUACACUGCAAAGUUAAAUGUGACCCAAUUCCAUUUUUUUUUGCUCAUAUGUGACAGAUCGGAUCUGUUCUACAGUGUGAACGGGAAAAAAACGCAUGCAUUUGGAUAUUUCGCGAUCGGUUUCAGGCCUCAUUCAUAUGUGGAAAUAAAUCGUAUAUAAAUCAGAUAUGUGCUAAUGCGAAUGUCGUGUAAACAGGCAGAUCGGAUUUUCUG